GGGGUUUUAUGGGUUCCUAUGGGGUCCUAUGGGGUUCUAUGGGCCUUAUGGGGUCUUAUGGGGUCCUAUGGGAUCCUAUGGGUUCCUAUGGGGUUUUAUGGGUGCUUUUGGGGUUCUGAGG
Molecule: long non-coding RNA, 121 nt
Organism: Tympanuchus pallidicinctus (lesser prairie-chicken)
Lineage: Eukaryota; Metazoa; Chordata; Aves; Galliformes; Phasianidae
Exons: 3
Source: RefSeq, a predicted model, not a curated record